This 274-nucleotide ribosomal RNA is filed under the name uncultured bacterium. Its description in RNAcentral is "partial 16S ribosomal RNA". It matches the Rfam family "Bacterial small subunit ribosomal RNA", at positions 523 to 796 of the family's 1533-position model. The record is from RNAcentral.
AUACGGAGGGUGCAAGCGUUACUCGGAAUCACUGGGCGUAAAGCGCGCGCAGGCGGCUUGAUAAGUUGGAUGUGAAAGCCUACGGCUCAACCGUAGAACUGCAUCCAAAACUGUCAGUCUAGAGUGUGGGAGAGGAAGAUGGAAUUAGUUGUGUAGGGGUAAAAUCCGUAGAGAUAACUAGGAAUACCAAAAGCGAAGGCAAUCUUCUGGAACACUACUGACGCUGAGGCGCGAAGGCGUGGGGAGCAAACAGGAUUAGAAACCCCUGUAGUCC